RNAcentral lists this ribosomal RNA (446 nucleotides) under uncultured bacterium. RNAcentral's name for it is "partial 16S ribosomal RNA". It matches the Rfam family "Bacterial small subunit ribosomal RNA", at positions 338 to 795 of the family's 1533-position model. The record is from RNAcentral.
CCUACGGUAGACAGCAGUCGAGAAUCAUUCACAAUGGGGGAAACCCUGAUGGUGCGACGCCGCGUGGGGGAAUGAAGGUCUUCGGAUUGUAAACCCCUGUCAUGUGGGAGCAAAUUAAAAAGAUAGUACCACAAGAGGAAGAGACGGCUAACUCUGUGCCAGCAGCCGCGGUAAUACAGAGGUCUCAAGCGUUGUUCGGAAUCACUGGGCGUAAAGCGUGCGUAGGCUGUUUCGUAAGUCGUGUGUGAAAGGCGCGGGCUCAACCCGCGGACGGCACAUGAUACUGCGAGACUAGAGUAAUGGAGGGGGAACCGGAAUUCUCGGUGUAGCAGUGAAAUGCGUAGAUAUCGAGAGGAACACUCGUGGCGAAGGCGGGUUCCUGGACAUUAACUGACGCUGAGGCACGAAGGCCAGGGGAGCGAAAGGGAUUAGAUACCCUGGUAGUC